CGCACAUUGCGCCCUCUGGUAUUCCGGAGGGCAUGCCUGCUUGAGCGUCGUU
RNAcentral lists this ribosomal RNA (52 nucleotides) under uncultured soil eukaryote. RNAcentral's name for it is "partial 5.8S ribosomal RNA". The record is from RNAcentral.